AGGCGUUCCGAGCGGCGGCAGAGGUGAGCGCACGGACGAGCGGGAGGGACCCUUCUCCGGCCUGAUGCGACCCGGAAAGGGAACGUCACAGAAAGGUGAAGAAAUUUGCCCUAAAUCAUAAAACUUUGUAAGUGGCAGAACAAGGAUUUGAAGCUGGCAGUCUGGUUCCAGGUAUCAUUCUUAAAACACUAAAUUUAUACUGUCCUAUUUAGCCUGAAAGUUUCAUGGUGCAGACUUAUACUGUGGACUCCAUAGCCCUUUUCCUCAUGCUGGGUUAGAAGUAACUUUUUCAGGCUCACUAUUUUUAUUAGGAAAAAAUAGUCACUGAGCAGAACUUCCGAGGAGACCCCUCCAGCUAACUGAAGAGAAAGGGACAACCAGCCUACCAUGUUUAGUGCAGCAGGGGGAACAGGACGGAAGGGCAGGGUGUCAUGGAGCUCUAGGAGGCACCAGCUGAGGAAAGGGGAUCUCAGGAGGUAGGGAGAGAGCAGACUGGGCAGCCAGCCAUGGGUUCAAAUCCUGGCCUACCACUUUAACAGGGCGAUCUGGAACAAGUGACUUCUGGUCCUGAGUUUCCUGUCUGUAAAAUGGGUGCAUUCCUAUCUAUCUUUCAGGAUUGUUUUGAUGAUGAAAGUGAAAGAAAGUUUGCGAAAUGUGGAGCCUGGUGAGGGUAUAUAGUAGGCUUUAAAAAAAGAUUGAUUUUCUAAAUGUUAGUGCUCCUAAAUGGCAUAAGGUGUUCAGGUCUUGGAGUUGCUGCCCAAAUACCAGCAAUUUCCAGAGAACUCGCUGCUGCCUAAUACAGCUUUAUUUUAAAGCUUUUCAAAGCCCCAGUUCAGUUAGGGCAAUUUUUCAAGUGGCUAUCAGUUGGCAUCUUCUGGAA
This 880-nucleotide small RNA is filed under the name Pan troglodytes (chimpanzee). RNAcentral's name for it is "processed transcript". The record is from RNAcentral. Lineage: Eukaryota; Metazoa; Chordata; Mammalia; Primates; Hominidae.